GCCGAGGUGGCGGAAUGGCAGACGCCACGGACUUAAAAUCCGUUGUCCUUAACUGGGCGUGCGAGUUCGAGUCUCGCCCUCGGCACCA
This 88-nucleotide transfer RNA is filed under the name SAR202 cluster bacterium. RNAcentral's name for it is "tRNA-Leu". It matches the Rfam family "tRNA". Rfam says of the family: Transfer RNA (tRNA) molecules are approximately 80 nucleotides in length. Lineage: Bacteria; Bacillati; Chloroflexota; Dehalococcoidia. The record is from RNAcentral.